Molecule: unclassified non-coding RNA, 340 nt
Filed under: Hevea brasiliensis (rubber tree)
Lineage: Eukaryota; Viridiplantae; Streptophyta; Magnoliopsida; Malpighiales; Euphorbiaceae
Source: RNAcentral
ACACGCAGUAGCAACUUCGUAUGUGUUGCAAUUUAGAAUAUUUCCAGAGCUGGAAUAGCCCAGAUUGCUUACAACAACAAUACAGUCUCUCUCAAGCCCCUCUCUUAUUUGUCGGUCAUCUAUUCUUUUCACUUCACCAGUGUCUCCAAAAUCAAUACCUUCAAUGACUCCCCUUCUCUUCGCUGCAAGAAAGUUACCGCUUGAUACGCGUACCCCAAGUUCAUGCCAACGACUAUUAUCACCUUGUCGGCGAAGGCUCGGUAUAGGGGGGCCAGGAGAAAGUUUUGCUUCUAUCAUCAGACGAAUCCUCCCAGCUGCCUCUGUUGCUGCCGCUAGUGAA